Long non-coding RNA from Pezoporus occidentalis (night parrot), 2523 nucleotides. RefSeq lists it as uncharacterized. The record is from RefSeq and is a predicted model, not a curated record. The transcript is spliced from 6 exons. NCBI's taxonomy places the organism in Eukaryota, Metazoa, Chordata, Aves, Psittaciformes, Psittacidae.
UUUUACUUUAAAAAAUAAUAAAAGCUCCUGUUAGUUCUUCAAAUUUUGAUAGCGAUUUUAUUAAUGAAAGCAGUAACUGAGACCUGUGAGGAUGUUAAAUCCAGUUCUGAGCAAGCCCAUGUGAACCGGUAAGUGCAACUGAAGGCAAUGAAGGAAGGUGGCCAGUGUAUCCAGUUAUCUGCUAUUCAUCCACUGAUGAAGUGACUGGUUUACUAGCAGAGCUGCCAAGUGUGUCCCUUCAGUUAAGGGAAAUUUGCCCUUCUUGCUUGCUCUUAGGAGGAGAGAAGAAUCUAUGUAUUGGUAAUAAAUGCUGUUAGAGGACAAUCACAGCUUUGCUUAAUGAAAGUAAAGCUGUUUGGCUAUUUUGUGCCUGUACUGUCAUAACCAUUUAACUCUUGGUGAUGGGGAGUGCCAGCUUCAAUCAUGUGCAAAUGCGGAGGAAGCAAUGGAUGCCUAUAAUAAUACUAUACUGGCCUGAAAUAAAGACUUUUUAAUAAUUCGUAAGGUAUGCUAAGUUUUCAUUAUAAACCCAACUUUUAAAUUUGAAUUCAAUCUCUUUGAAGGUAAGUCACUGCUAAUAGGAAUUCUUUUAAGGUAAGAUUUAGCAAAGUCAAAUCCCCUUCAAUACUGAAGCGGAAAGAAGGAAAUCUUACUGCAGACAACUGCCCCUCUGACUUGAAUGAAUCGAUAUUCAAGAUCUUCACUGUUUUGUGUUUUAAAAAGAUUUUUUGUACUGACUUCUAGGACUUGACACUUUCUCAAAUCAGACAAGCAAUAAUUUGAUGUUUGGAAUUACUUCAGUGUUGGUUCUUGCCUUCCCAUGACAGGUGAUUCUCUAUUUGUCUGUGUAAUCAGCACAUCCUUGCCUGUAUGCCUGAGCAUCUGAUAAGCAGUUGGUAAAAUAACUACUGAGAACUAAUUUUAUAUAUAGGGUCUGUCAUGCCAAAAAUAGUUACUAUGCAAAUAAAUGUCAGGGCAAAUGGAAGGAGGAAGUGAAAGAUUAUAGAGCAGCACUGUCCUGAAAUUAGCAAAGUGUGAGGCAAACCAGCACUUCUUGGUCCUCAGCAGAUGAACAGUCCCCAGAAAGAGUCUUUAGGCUGCGUGCUCCCCUCCUCAUUACACCUUGAUGGAUCUUCUGUUCUGCUCCCAGAAGUCCAAAGGUGAAAACGGGUAAGUGUGCAGAAUGAGCAGAAGUAUGAAACAAGGAGUGUCAACAAAUUUCACAAGGAUUAAUGUUUGCAUCACUGAUAAUGCAGAAGGAGAAUCGCAUGGCAUGAUAAGAAGUAAAAGUGAUCAGAAGGCGGUGUGACUGCGAAAGGGGAAGAAAAUGAAAAGUUGAAUGAUGGAGGGCCCCCACUUGCUGCAGCAGUGCAGACAGCUUUGAAUGAAUCACAGUAUUCCAAGAAUCACUGACAAACCUUGUCACAUGGGCAACCCACAGCACAGGAGCUGCCAGAAUGAUGCAGUGACUAAGGAGGCUGAUGUGAUCCCUGGAUGUAGAAUACCUUCUGUAGGAGUGAAGAGCAUUAGGCCCAGACAGCGGUUGAAAACCACAGCUCAGUUGGUGAUGAGCACUGUGCAGCAGCGGAAGCGUGUGGAAAAAUUCUGGCUGACUCAUCCAUAAUUCAUCUGGCGUCCCAGGGAAUGUGCGCACUGGAGAGGGAUCCCUGGCACUCCUGCAAGGAAGAGGCCUGCUGCCACAGCAAGAUGUGGGCAACAACCAGCCCUCUUUUACCCAGAUGGCCUCUGAAGGACCACAUGCAACAUCUCCCAUACCUGUGACUAUGUGCACCCUUGGCCCAGCCAGGCAGACGUGCUGCUUGAACUGCAGCAGCCCCAGGACAAGGUAGAGAAGAACUGCCUGAAUUUGAGAACAAAGCCUCACUGAGACACUUGCUUUUCAGUCCUGCCUGACAGCUGAGUUCCACACAGAAGGUAUGUUAAGUUAGGAAAGCUUCCUGUAACCUCUGCCCCUUUGAAAAACACCCAACAGCCAGAUUAAAUCUGUUUUGCAGUGACUUUCAUGUCAUCAGCUAGAGCCGUCUCUAAAAAGGUGCAAGCACAACAGCCAAGUGAUUGUGCUAGAGACGCAUGAGUUAAUUUUUAAAUGUUUCCUGUUUCACCCUUAAGAAUGACCUUUACUAAAAAAAAAGUAAAUUCAAAUUAGUAUUAAAUACAUUUUCUUAAAUAGAAUCAACUAUGGAAAAGGUUCUUUCAACUCCUUAACAUACACAAUCACGAUACACUGAUUACUGUACAAGAUUACUAUAGUAUCUCUUUGAAGUUCGCAUAUGGAGUUCAACUAUAUAUAUACAUAAAAAAAACCUAAAAUGGGGGAUUAGUCAGAUUACUAUUGGCUUGCCUUUUCUUUAUUACCUCAUGUUUAUUUUCUCAGUUACACACUGAAUAUUUCAAACAUUGCGUGCCCCUUAGUAGCAAAUAUCUCCAUUCCUGUUCCAACACAGGACCCUGGCUUUUGAUACCCGAUACGCUAUGUGCCAAUGUGAAGCUUGAUUUACCAGU